Molecule: RNase P RNA, 352 nt
Filed under: Gammaproteobacteria bacterium
Lineage: Bacteria; Pseudomonadati; Pseudomonadota; Gammaproteobacteria
Description: RNase P RNA component class A
Rfam family: Bacterial RNase P class A
About the family: Ribonuclease P (RNase P) is a ubiquitous endoribonuclease, found in archaea, bacteria and eukarya as well as chloroplasts and mitochondria. Its best characterised activity is the generation of mature 5'-ends of tRNAs by cleaving the 5'-leader elements of precursor-tRNAs. Cellular RNase Ps are ribonucleoproteins.
Source: RNAcentral
UGAGUCAACCAGGCAAUCGCUGGCUUGAAUAUCUGUUCGAGCUAGAGGAAAGUCCGGGCUCCUAGGACAAGGUGCCAGGUAAUCCCUGGGGAGUGUGAACUCACGGAAAGUGCAACAGAAAACAAACCGCCUCACAGUUACUGUAGGGUAAGGGUGAAAUGGUGUGGUAAGAGCACACCGCGAUUGUGGUAACAGAAUCGGCAUGGUAAACCCCACUUGGAGCAAGGCUAAAUAGGAGUUAUAUGGUGUGGUCCGCACCAACUCGGGUAGGCUGCGAGGAGAUGCAUGGUGACAUGUAUCCGAGAUGAAUGAUUGCCCACGACAGAACCCGGCUUAUCGGUUGACUCAAUUC